GAGGAAUAUUGGUCAAUGGGGGCAACCCUGAACCAGCCAAGUCGCGUGAAGGAUGAAGGUCUUAUGGAUUGUAAACUUCUUUUACACGGGAAUAAAGUGGGGGACGCGUCCCCCUUUGCAUGUACCGUGUGAAUAAGGAUCGGCUAACUCCGUGCCAGCAGCCGCGGUAAUACGGAGGAUCCGAGCGUUAUCCGGAUUUAUUGGGUUUAAAGGGUGCGCAGGCGGGAUGUUAAGUCGGCGGUGAAAUUUUGCAGCUCAACUGUAAAAGUGCCUUCGAUACUGGCCUCCUUGAGUGUGGAUGAAGUAGGCGGAAUUUGUGGUGUAGCGGUGAAAUGCUUAGAUAUCACGAGGAACUCCGAUUGCGCAGGCAGCUUACUAAGCCACAACUGACGCUCAUGCACGAAGGCGUGGGGAACAAACA
RNAcentral lists this ribosomal RNA (421 nucleotides) under uncultured bacterium. Its description in RNAcentral is "bacterial SSU rRNA". It matches the Rfam family "Bacterial small subunit ribosomal RNA", at positions 356 to 774 of the family's 1533-position model. The record is from RNAcentral.